CCUGUCAGUCACCAGACCUAAAGCCUACUGCAUGGUCUUUGGCCUAUAACACCUUCUCCAGUGGCAGUGAAAGGCAGCGAGAGAGGCACAUCCAGUAUAUCGAAAACAUUUCACAUCAGGACUGUACAAAGGAAAGGGAACAUUGGAUAUACUACAAUGUCCUAUGAGCGUAUUCUGUCAAUCACAGACUUAAGUGAGGUCCAAAAUCCCUGGAAAGGAUUCACUAUGAACCGCUGCUUAGUUCUAGCACUGGUUGUGUUGCUCGUGAGCUCAGGGGUCAGCGAAUUGCAUGAAGCUGUGGAUUAUGUUGUCGAGGAGACAGGCAUAAUGUCUUUCAUAGGAAGUGUGCAGGAUGGAUCAAUACUGCAGUUCUCUGUGUGGGACAGUCUAAAAUCGUGGUGGGGAACUGAAGAACUGGGUGCCAUAAGAAGACGAAAAAAGCCUAUUGGCAACAAAGCAAUCCUGAAACCCAAAGCUAAACCUUGAUUCAUGGAAUAUACUG
This is a long non-coding RNA of Boleophthalmus pectinirostris (great blue-spotted mudskipper), 502 nucleotides long. RefSeq lists it as uncharacterized. The transcript is spliced from 5 exons. The record is from RefSeq and is a predicted model, not a curated record. NCBI's taxonomy places the organism in Eukaryota, Metazoa, Chordata, Actinopteri, Gobiiformes, Gobiidae.